UACAGAGGUCUCAAGCGUUGUUCGGAUUCAUUGGGCGUAAAGGGUGCGUAGGCGGCGCGGUAAGUCGGGUGUGAAAUUUCGAGGCUUAACUUCGAAACUGCAUUCGAUACUGCCGUGCUAGAGGACUGGAGAGGAGACUGGAAUUUACGGUGUAGCGGUGAAAUGCGCAGAUAUCAGGAGGAACACCGAUGGCGAAGGCAGGUCUCUGGGCAUUAACUGACGCUGAGGAGCGAAAGCAUGGGGAGCGAACAGG
RNAcentral lists this ribosomal RNA (253 nucleotides) under uncultured bacterium. RNAcentral describes it as "partial 16S ribosomal RNA". It matches the Rfam family "Bacterial small subunit ribosomal RNA", at positions 524 to 776 of the family's 1533-position model. The record is from RNAcentral.